ACGCCCCUUGGCGGCGAGCUCUGAGCCCUUUGCCGCAUUUGACACUCGACAUCCUCGUGCUUCUUAAAGCACUUGCCCAACGGUGAGCAACGGCCUCCAACGGUGCCCGAGGGACUCGCGCUGCCCGUUAAGCAGCUUUGCGGUGGCGGAGGCUGGGCUGCCGUCUCUCCGACAUCCCGGGACGGAGGAAGAGAUGAAGGCUCUGCAGCCCCCGCCGCCCGAUUUACGCUUGAGAAAGCGAAGGCGAGAGAGGUCGUCCAGCCCCUGGGGGCCCAGCCCUAGAGAGCGGGGCGCGGGCUGCGGGGCCCGGCGGCCUGGACGGCGGAGCGUUGAAAGCUCCCCCAGGGAUAGGAAGUGCAGCCGAAAUCAACGAUUGAGGGUCUGAGCACCUCCCUCAUGCAGACAGAGCCCCGGCUCCCAUGUUCACCAUGCUGAGAAAGACCUGCGGGGGACAGCAGGAGGACAGCCGGGGAAUGGGCCCGCACUUGCCCAGAGUCCCUGAUGGUGUCGUCUUGGGAGUGGAGGAACCUGAGGGAAAAGCCCAGGGACGAGUCAGGGGAGAGCUCUGCCCUGGUGCUCUUGCACGUAUCCACAUGGGCCACAGCUGCACCCGGCUCUCAGCAGAGGGCAUCGCCAUGCUCCUGGGCACAGCCGGGCCCUCUCGCCUCCCUGCGGCUCCUGAUGCCUCCCAGGCUCCGCUGAGGUCACCUUGGGCACUUAGCGUGGCUGCAGCUCUUUGCAGCCCCGUGUCCUGUCAUCCAUGUGGCCGUCAUGUGGUCACUUUUGGGCAUUGCCCUGCGCAAGGUCCAUGGGGACUGGGCACCUUUGGCCAUUCUUUCUUUGGUUGUCUGUGCAAGUAAUAAACUAAAUCUGAAAAGGUC
Long non-coding RNA from Homo sapiens (human), 881 nucleotides. Ensembl annotates it as long intergenic non-protein coding RNA 2610. The record is from Ensembl. NCBI's taxonomy places the organism in Eukaryota, Metazoa, Chordata, Mammalia, Primates, Hominidae.